GGCACGCCCGAAGUCGUUACUCUAACCUUAUUGGAGGAGGGCGCCGAAGGCAGGGCUAGUGACUGGGGUGAAGUCGUAACAAGGUAGCCGUACCGGAAGGUGUGGCUGGAUCACCUCCUUUUAGGGAGACCUUUUUUCAGUGAACAGUGAACAGUGAACAGUGAACAGUUAAAAGUUCCCUGUCACAGAUAACUGAUAACUGAUAACUGUUCACUGAAGAACAUCCCAAGGUCGUGCAAGGGACAGAAAAAAAGCCAAAGCUUUCAAACUAUAAAGUCGGUUCGGAUGAAUCAGCGAACAGCCGUCAGUCAAACAACUGAUAACUGAUAACUGACAACUGACAACUGACAAGGGCUAUUAGCUCAGGUGGUUAGA
RNAcentral lists this unclassified non-coding RNA (375 nucleotides) under uncultured cyanobacterium. RNAcentral describes it as "partial contains 16S ribosomal RNA and 16S-23S ribosomal RNA intergenic spacer". The stretch from base 1 to 121 matches the Rfam family "Bacterial small subunit ribosomal RNA", at positions 1414 to 1533 of the family's 1533-position model. Lineage: Bacteria; Bacillati; Cyanobacteriota. The record is from RNAcentral.